UGAUCCUGCCAGUAGUCAUAUGCUUGUCUCAAAGAUUAAGCCAUGCAUGUCUCAGUACAAGCCGAAUUAAGGUGAAACCGCGAAAGGCUCAUUAAAUCAGUUAUGGUUCCUUAGAUCGUACCCACAAUUACUUGGAUAACUGUGGUAAUUCUAGAGCUAAUACAUGCAAACAGAGCUCCGACCGGAGACGGAAGGAGUGCUUUUAUUAGAUCAAAACCAAUCGGUGGCGGGCUCGCGCUCGUCAUCGUACAACUUGGUGACUCUGAAUAACUUUACGCUGAUCGCACGGUCAUCGCACCGGCGACGCAUCUUUCAAAUGUCUGCCUUAUCAACUGUCGAUGGUAGGUUCUGCGCCUACCAUGGUUGUAACGGGUAACGGGGAAUCAGGGUUCGAUUCCGGAGAGGGAGCCUGAGAAACGGCUACCACAUCCAAGGAAGGCAGCAGGCGCGCAAAUUACCCACUCCCGGCACGGGGAGGUAGUGACGAAAAAUAACGAUACGGGACUCAUCCGAGGCCCCGUAAUCGGAAUGAGUACACUCUAAACCCUUUAACGAGGAUCAAUUGGAGGGCAAGUCUGGUGCCAGCAGCCGCGGUAAUUCCAGC
RNAcentral lists this ribosomal RNA (604 nucleotides) under Larinus onopordi. RNAcentral's name for it is "SSU rRNA". It matches the Rfam family "Eukaryotic small subunit ribosomal RNA", at positions 9 to 589 of the family's 1831-position model. The record is from RNAcentral. Lineage: Eukaryota; Metazoa; Arthropoda; Insecta; Coleoptera; Curculionidae.